UACGAAGGGGGCUAGCGUUGCUCGGAAUCACUGGGCGUAAAGGGUGCGUAGGCGGGUCUUUUAAGUCAGGGGGUGAAAUCCUGGAGCCACACUCCAGAACUGCCUUUGAUACUGAAGAUCUUGAGUUCGGGAGAGGUGAGUGGAACUGCGAGUGUAGAGGUGAAAUUCGUAGAUAUUCGCAAGAACACCAGUGGCGAAGGCGGCUCACUGGCCCGAUACUGACGCUGAGGCACGAAAGCGUGGGGAGCAAACAGG
This 255-nucleotide ribosomal RNA is filed under the name uncultured bacterium. RNAcentral describes it as "partial 16S ribosomal RNA". It matches the Rfam family "Bacterial small subunit ribosomal RNA", at positions 524 to 776 of the family's 1533-position model. The record is from RNAcentral.